GGACUACAGGGGUUUCUAAUCCCGUUUGCUCCCCUGGCUUUCGCGCCUCAGCGUCAGAAAGGGUCCAGCACGUCGCUUUCGCCACCGGCGUUCCUUCCGAUAUCUACGCAUUUCACCGCUCCACCGGAAGUUCCACAUGCCCCUACCCCCCUCAAGAUGGCCAGUAUCAAAAGCUGUUCUCCAGUUGAGCUGGAGGAUUUCACCCCUGACUUAACCACCCGCCUACGCGCCCUUUAAGCCCAGUGAUUCCGAACAACGUUUGCACGGUUCGUCUUACCGCGGCUGCUGGCAC
Molecule: ribosomal RNA, 292 nt
Filed under: uncultured Planctomycetota bacterium
Lineage: Bacteria; Pseudomonadati; Planctomycetota
Description: uncultured planctomycete partial 16S ribosomal RNA
Source: RNAcentral